This 1724-nucleotide long non-coding RNA is filed under the name Nicotiana benthamiana. RNAcentral describes it as "long non-coding RNA (NBEN_LNC041826)". The record is from RNAcentral. Lineage: Eukaryota; Viridiplantae; Streptophyta; Magnoliopsida; Solanales; Solanaceae.
UGCGAUUCCCAACUCCAUUUCCCCAUCUCCUUCGCCGGUUAACUCUCGGCGAUCUCUUCCUUCAGCAAAAUCUCUGUGUAAGGCUUUUUUUUUGUCUUUUUCUUAUGCUCUCACUCCUUUAACUUCAUCCUCUUUAAGAAGUGAAGACAACCCUAACCCCUUUUCGCCAGCAAGUUACAAAAAAAUACGAACUUUGAUGUGAGUUUUUCUGUACUGAGCCGAGGGUCGAUUGGAAACAGUCUCUUUGCCCUUUCAGGUAGGGGUAAGGCUCGUCUACAUAUUACCCUCCCCAAACCCCACUUUGUGGGACUAUACUGGGUAGUUGUUGUUGUUGUUGAUGUGGGUUUUUCUCCUUUCUCUCUCUAGCCGUCGAUUUUUUGCUGAGCAUUCUUUGUAAAGAUCUUUACAGUUAACUCUUCUUGUUUUCUAAGUUAAUCUCCCUAAAGGUAAUCCUAAUAAUCCUUUUGAUUUAUUUUCCAUAGUUUUUUACCCAAUUUUUAUGGUCUUAUUCAAUUCAAGAACCCUUCAUUGUACAGUUUUUGUUUGUAAAAAUCUCAUCUUUAUAGCAUAAAACAUCCUCUGUACUGAUGUUUGGUAAUACCUAUGUUUGUUUAUAUUGAUUUUAUGGUUAAAUUUUGAACUAUUUCCGAUAUAGUGUGGGCCAGCCAACAUCAAAUUUGUCUUUUCAAAUUUGAUUUUUCCUACUAGAUCUGGAGCUUCGGGAAUUUGUAUUUUUCUUUAAAUUGAGGAAGAAGAGAUCUAAAUCGGAAAGAGCUUUCGUGUUUUUCUUCGCUCGGAAGUAAAAAGAUAAUUUCCCUCCCUUCUAUUUGUUUUUUAACACGGAAAAUACGUGCUACGGUUUCAAUUCCGUAGGAAACUUAUAUUUCGCUACUAUCAAAUUUCGAAGUCGUGGAAGGUUAUUCCUACUCCUGAGAUACUCAUCGCCGAUUUAUAAACUCUAAGUUCCAAUUUUGCUUGGAUUCCAAAUUUUGAUCCGGUUUUUGUUUGUCUUCUUCUGGUUAUUAAAGAGCACUUCAAAUUCUGUAAGUGCGAAGCAGAAUUCUCGCUCUCUGUGUGUGUGCUUUUUUUUUUUUUCUCUUUUCUUCCUAUUCUCUCUUCUGCUUUUUCUGGGUGUGUGUGGGUGUGUUUUGUUUUCUUGGACAGGUACCUUAUUUUACCGGCGAGGAUUUCCGGCAAGCUUCAGUACUUCCGGGGACUCCCGUUCAGAUUUUCGACAGGACGCAGCAGAACUACCCGUUCGAAUAAGCUUCAAAAAAACUUGCCCCAGGUACUAGUCGCGGCGGCGAGGCCAGUUUGCGGCAUUUGGGAGUGAGGAGCUAAGUAACACCGGCCGGGACGUGCAAGAGUUGGUAGCAGUUGACCUUGGGCGCAUCAAAGCCUACUUUCAGGUUUUUCCACCGGGAGUUGGUACCUCCCGCUCUCGAGUGAGGAGCUAAGCAACACCGGCCAGGACGUGUAAGAGUUGGUAGCAGUUGACCUCGGGCGCAUCAAAGCCUACUUUCAGGUUUUUCCACCGAGAGUUGGUACCUCCUGCUCUCUUGUUUACUCUGUACAUCCUUUUACGUAUUCUAGCUAGCAUUCCGUGUGAGGUUUACGAUGUUGCUAUCUAGUUUGCAUAUUUUUGCGUAUUCCGCUAUAGUGCGUGUGUGCGUCACUAUUCUCCAUAGUCGGUUGGAGGGAUAGUGGCCGCGGCGGGGGAUGAU